Molecule: ribosomal RNA, 550 nt
Filed under: uncultured Chlorophyta
Lineage: Eukaryota; Viridiplantae; Chlorophyta
Description: SSU rRNA
Rfam family: Eukaryotic small subunit ribosomal RNA
Source: RNAcentral
GUAUAUUUAAGUUGUUGCAGUUAAAAAGCUCGUAGUUGGAUUUUGGUUAAGAGGGCGCGGUCGGCCGUUUGGUCUGUACUGCGUUGUCUUGACUUCCUGAUGAGGACAUGCUCUUGGUUAACGCUGAGACAUGGAGUCAUCGUGGUUACUUUGAAAAAAUUAGAGUGUUCAAAGCGGGCUUACGCUUGAAUAUAUUAGCAUGGAAUAACACUAUAGGACUCCUGUCCUAUCUCGUUGGUCUCGGGAUGCGAGUAAUGAUUAAGAGGAACAGUUGGGGGCAUUCGUAUUUCAUUGUCAGAGGUGAAAUUCUUGGAUUUAUGAAAGACGAACUUCUGCGAAAGCAUUUGCCAAGGAUGUUUUCAUUAAUCAAGAACGAAAGUUGGGGGCUCGAAGAUGAUUAGAUACCAUCCUAGUCUCAACCAUAAACGAUGCCGACUAGGGAUUGGUGGAUGUUAAUUGAUGACUUCACCAGCACCUUAUGAGAAAUCAAAGUUUUUGGGUUCCGGGGGGAGUAUGGUCGCAAGGCUGAAACUUAAAGGAAUUGACGGAA